CAUCUCCAAGGAUCCUUCCAUUGCAAUAGGCCCCAGGAUGGCCAAAACUGUCUCUUCCUCUGUAGGGACAAGAGGAACUGAACUGAUACCCCAUCAGUCUUGUUUGCUUCCCUCUUAAGUGCCACAGCCAUCGUUUAUUUUGAGUGAUUUCUGCCCAGAUUUUAUUUUUGUCAGCUUUGUAAUGCUAUUUUUCAGAUUUGAAAAUAGCUGGAUUUUACUAUUUUCCACCACCUUCUCAAAAAUAACUGCAAUUUCAAGCAUUGAAAAUUGGGGUUUCGGUGUCAUUUUCAUUAACACGUCAGAAUGGCAAGAAGACAUGAAUAGGAAAGAUUGAGCAAAAAAGCAAUCCACAACAGUACAUCACAGUUUUUCAAAACCCAUCUUUUUCAAUUGUGGUUAAGUAGCCUAUAUAUUACAUAAGAAAUAGUAUUUAUCUGAAAUUGUGAAAUUAUUGAUAUUGGAAUCAGAAAAGAGCACAUUUUUAACUCCGUGUGUGUAUAAUGUAUUGCAGAACAAAGAUUGAUUCGUUAUCACUCGAAUCUAACGUCAUUUCAAAAGCGUAAUUCCAGUCGAAGAAAAGAGAAAAUAAAACCAAAUUACUGAAGGUGGCGGUAUGUGCUCAUGUCUCCAGUCAGCCUUUAGAUCGAAGAAGAAGAAGAACGACGGCUCCAACCAACGUAGUUUGAAUGAUGGCAAUAAUGCACUGUUAAGUGCGGUUGCCAAUAAAACGAAAGAAGAAGAAAGAAGAAGAAGAACGUAGUUUGAACUAUGGAUCUGCGACACAGGUACCAUGGUUUCGGGAAACAGUCGUGACUAGGUCGUUCGUUUUUCAUAACGAUGCAUCGUACUAUGGUGGUUAAUCUGCAAGCUACGUCGUUGUACGGGAAACGCACCCUUGUUCAGCUUUUCUGCGUCUUGUGUUUGAAUGAUUUAAACUCUUUUGAAUGUUUAAAUUGAAAAGUGGAGAGGCUUAAAAACACAUGAAAAUGAUAAGCUUUCGUGACAACACGCAGCAGUGGCCUGAAAGAGUUUAAGAUGAUUCUGAUCAGAGAUCAGUGCUAAUGGAGAUCCCAGAACCAUAGGCCAAGAUCACAGUUGUAAAUCACGCGCAGAAUGCUUCAUGAGUGAGCUUUAUCCCUCACAGGACGUCUGAGGAGAUCCGACAUGGAUGUGUUGUCGCUGCGGGACACGUGAGGUGUGGACACGUUGGACGCAGGUUCAGGAAGACGCCGGAACCGGAAACAGUCUUCUACUCGCUGAACAGUCAGUUCAGAUGGCGUCCGUGUCGCUGACCUCUGACCUCAGGCUCUUACUGGAGGAUCUGCAUCAGAAGAAGACCAGCGUCUACAGAUCCAUCCCAUACUCUCCUCUGGCCUCCAGCAGAGACACACACUGCUACAGGAACACACACCUGAUGGCCUUCCCUCGUUACAGUAAUGAUAGGACACUGGUCAUACACUGCUGGGAAAAUGUUUGAAAUCAUUCAAAUGUUUUAAUCAUUUUGAAAAGUUUUUCUGUAGAUAAAUACAAAGUUAAGAAGAACAGCAUUUAUUUGAAAUGGAAAUCUUUUGUAACCAUGUAAAUGCCUUUAAUAUCUCUUGUCGUCCUUGAAGAAUACGUUUUUCCACUUACCCCAAAUUUAUGAAUGGUAGUGUAUGAUGGUUUCCACUGUGUUCAACACUGAUAAUAAUCAGAAAUGUUUCUUUAGCAGUAAAUCAUCAUAUUAUUCUGAUUUCUGAAGAUCAUGUGACACUGAAGACUGGAGGAAUGAUGCUGAAAAUACAGCGGAGCAUCACAGAAAUACAUUACACUUUAACACAGAUUCACACAGAAAACAGAUGAUUUACACUGGAAUAAUAUUUCACAUUUGUAAUUUAUUUUUAAUUAUAUAAAUGCAGCCUUGAGCAGAAGAGAAAAAAACUGUAAAACUAAACUUUUAAAAACUGUAAUUGUUCCAGACUGUGGGCUGCUAGUGAAUAUGUUUCUGUGUAAUGUAAAACUCAUUAGUUUCACUGGAGGUGAAGUAGAAAGUAAUUUCAUUGACAUUCAUGCAUUUGCUGAUGUUUUUAGUGAAGUGAGAUUUUUUUUUUUUUUUUUUACAUCAUUUCAGUUCAUACUUUCACUGGGAAUCGAACCCAUGUCUUUGAUAUUAUCAGAGUUGUGUAAAAUGGUGCCACAUGAACUGUACACAGAUUGAUUGUAGUGAAUAGGCUGAACUGAACUGAGUGUGUUGUGUUUGUGAAGCGCUCGUGUCAGGACCGGGGCCGUCUGCUCCUGCAGGAAGCUCAGUGGGAGAAGCUGCUGGGUGCCGCGAGCCGCUACACCAGUGAGCUCCAGCAGUGGGAGACCAGCUCCCAUAAUGCACUGCAGGAGCACUGCUACGACACGCUAGCUGCUCUCUGAGGAAACACAGACCCGUCUGGCACAGAGCACGAGAACUGCUUCACAGGUGAACAAACACAUCACAAACAACAUGCCCCAUUCAGCAUCCCUCCUCCACCCCAUCUCCUCACUCCCAGUUCACCUUUAAUAGACGGGGGGGGGGACUCUAGGUUCGGGACAUUCCCGAGCUCCAGAGCACGUGACCCGCUCCUCUGCAAUUAUUCUUGCAGUUGAUUAUUUUGUGUAUUUGGCUUAAUAUUAAAAGUGUUUUAUAAUAAAUGUUGCCUGAAGGUGUUAGAUUUUACAGUGGUCAGAGGUUUAGUGAAUUAUGAGAAUUUCAAAGUGCUUAUUUAAUAUUUAAAACAAGGAGGUUGUGGGAAUACCUGCACUUGAUCAUGCGAGGUGUGUUCCUGCUGUUCUCAGGUCAGUCACAGGGUGGCAGUCAUCACACAUUCACUUCCAGGACUUCAGGAAAACAGCAAAUAGUCAAAAAUCAGUGCAAGUUUAUUAUAAUAUUAAUAAUAAUACAUUUUAUUUGUAAUGCAGUUUUCUUAAACCCAAAGCACUACAGUGAAACUAAAAUACGAAAAAGGACAACGCAAGAAUUAAUUAAAAACACUUGAAAAAUGUCACUUUAAAGUGUUCCAGGUUUGGUGCAUUUCUGACAUUAAAGGGAACUGCAUUGCCUCAAAUGAAAAAGCUGAAGUUUGCAUGAAGGCUGAAGAUACAGAUUGUAUUUUCUGGUCUAAUUUUACAGUUUUGGUAGCAUUGUUUUUUUUUUUUUUUUAAUACCUGUAUUGUUUUUAGUCAGUUUCAUUGAAUUGUGC
Molecule: long non-coding RNA, 3209 nt
Organism: Carassius gibelio (silver crucian carp)
Lineage: Eukaryota; Metazoa; Chordata; Actinopteri; Cypriniformes; Cyprinidae
Exons: 4
Source: RefSeq, a predicted model, not a curated record